UAAUAGCUCAGUCAGUAAAGCAUGAGACGCUCAAUCUCAGGGUUGCAGAUUCAAGUUCUACAUUGAGCAAAA
Molecule: non-coding RNA, 72 nt
Organism: Podarcis lilfordi (Lilford's wall lizard)
Lineage: Eukaryota; Metazoa; Chordata; Lepidosauria; Squamata; Lacertidae
Source: the annotation of a GenBank genome assembly